CGGGAACCAUAACCUGUCCUAUACGGGAUUAGUAAGUCCUAUGGUCAUGUGGAGCUCGAUGCAUACCAGGUUUGGAGCUCGUGGGUGGACAACGCCUUGUUUCGAUAGCUCUGAAGAGGUAGAAGAAGAAGGGACAGUAAUUGAAAACAAGAUGAAAGUGUUGCAGAAGAAAGACAGCAUGUGCAAGAUGCAGCCUUCUGAAGAAAAUUCAAAGAAAUUUUGGAGUAUUUGAGG
Andrographis paniculata is the source of this 234-nucleotide long non-coding RNA. RefSeq lists it as uncharacterized. NCBI's taxonomy places the organism in Eukaryota, Viridiplantae, Streptophyta, Magnoliopsida, Lamiales, Acanthaceae. The transcript has 3 exons. The record is from RefSeq and is a predicted model, not a curated record.